GACCCCAGGUCAGGCGGGGCCACCCGCUGAGUUUAA
Molecule: ribosomal RNA, 36 nt
Filed under: Schisandra chinensis (Chinese magnolia-vine)
Lineage: Eukaryota; Viridiplantae; Streptophyta; Magnoliopsida; Austrobaileyales; Schisandraceae
Also listed under: 3 other names
Description: partial 28S ribosomal RNA
Source: RNAcentral